Molecule: ribosomal RNA, 440 nt
Filed under: uncultured bacterium
Lineage: Bacteria
Description: partial 16S ribosomal RNA
Rfam family: Bacterial small subunit ribosomal RNA
Source: RNAcentral
CCUACGGGUGGCAGCAGUGGGGGAUAUUGCACAAUGGGGGAAACCCUGAUGCAGCGACGCCGCGUGGGUGAAGAAGCGCCUCGGCGCGUAAAGCCCUGUCAGCAGGGAAGAAAAUGACGGUACCUGAAGAAGAAGCCCCGGCUAACUACGUGCCAGCAGCCGCGGUAAUACGUAGGGGGCAAGCGUUAUCCGGAUUUACUGGGUGUAAAGGGGGCGCAGACGGCGAUGCAAGCCAGGAGUGAAAGCCCGGGGCCCAACCCCGGGACUGCUCUUGGAACUGCGUGGCUAGAGUGCAGGAGGGGCAGGAGGAAUUCCUGGUGUAGCGGUGAAAUGCGUAGAUAGCAGGAGGAACACUGGUGGCGAAGGCGGCCUGCUGGACUGCAACUGACGUUGAGGCCCGAAAGCGUGGGGAGCAAACAGGAUUAGAUACCCCAGUAGUC